RNAcentral lists this transfer RNA (72 nucleotides) under Pseudomonadota bacterium. Its description in RNAcentral is "tRNA-Gly". It matches the Rfam family "tRNA". Rfam says of the family: Transfer RNA (tRNA) molecules are approximately 80 nucleotides in length. Their secondary structure includes four short double-helical elements and three loops (D, anti-codon, and T loops). RNAcentral also lists the same sequence under 2 other names. The record is from RNAcentral. Lineage: Bacteria; Pseudomonadati; Pseudomonadota.
GCGGGUGUAGCUCAGGGGUAGAGCUCUUGCUUCCCAAGCAAGGAGUCGCGCGUUCGAAUCGCGUCACCCGCU